RNAcentral lists this ribosomal RNA (253 nucleotides) under uncultured bacterium. RNAcentral describes it as "partial 16S ribosomal RNA". It matches the Rfam family "Bacterial small subunit ribosomal RNA", at positions 524 to 776 of the family's 1533-position model. The record is from RNAcentral. RNAcentral also lists the same sequence under 1 other name.
UACGGAGGGUGCAAGCGUUAUCCGGAUUCACUGGGUUUAAAGGGUGCGUAGGAGGGCAGGAAAGUCAGUGGUGAAAUCCUAGGGCUUAACUCUAGAACUGCCGUUGAUACUACUUGUCUUGAAUACCGUGGAGGUGAGCGGAAUAUGUCAUGUAGCGGUGAAAUGCUUAGAUAUGACAUAGAACACCAAUUGCGAAGGCAGCUCACUACACGAAUAUUGACUCUGAGGCACGAAAGCGUGGGGAUCAAACAGG